UAUUACUAAUAAAUACUUCUAGAAAAAUUAUCAAAAUAUAUUUAAGUCGCGGAUAUCGCUAUCAAGCAACACGUGCAUAACCAUUUCUUCUCCGUCGCAAGAUUUAAAAUCUUCCCAUUCCCGCAAAAAGCUCGUUUCCUUCAGUCAGCUUAUAUACUCACUGUGCAACGUCAUGCCGGAGGAAUUCGUGGCGCCAUCACGUUUAAUACGCACUUAACUUUGCAUGCGGCGUUGUUUUCAUGCACCGUCAUUAAUUAUCCGCAAAAAGUUUCGAUCCAAAGGAAGUGGAUACAGGGUCUACUUUUGUCGGUCUGUCUCGACUUCCGGUCGAUGCAGCCGGCGCGCCCUAACCUGUACAGACUCGUGACACUUUACUCGCGCUAGGCGAAAGAUUAAUGACACUUAGUCGGGUAACUCUGCCGCUGCAUCCCAUUAAUAUAUUACACGAUGUCCAUCUCUCUCUUUCUCGCGCUUCUCGAUCAUUGACAUCGUCGAUUCAUCGUCUACAUUGUCGUCGUCGUUGCCGUUCAGAAACGAGUAGAUGUCGCUCUCGGUGAUUCGAUGCUCGAUGCUCUUCUCGAGCGUUACAUCUCGUAAAUUUCAUUCCAUGGCCAAUCAACGAGCCAAGUCAAAUCGAACGACGUUUCUCGGCGCUAGGCGUCGCUCGCGUCUCUCGGCGUACACAGCGCCGUUUCCUUCUGUUUAAUCUCGUUAAGUCGACUGAUUGUGCUAAUUGCUCUUUGCGAAUUACUUGUGUUUCACGACGUGUUCGUAAGUAAGACAUCCGUUCCGAAACGUGUUUCUUGCUUGCCUGGCUCCCUGGUGCAAUUGGAAGAGGAUUCGAGACGAUUGAAAUACGAUAUGACGCUCAGUUUUACGAGAUAAAAAGAGACGCGUGUGUGAAAACAAUUGGAAAAAGAAAUAUUAAUUGAAAUUAAAAGUGCUUCACUUUACGUGAUUUGUCAAGAAUUACAUCUUUGACGGAUGAAAUAUCAUCGGUUGCCUAACAUCGUCUUUCAAACGAAGCAGCAAAUGUCAAUUCCUGCGGAAAGGUUCAUCGUGCAUCCGACUGCAACGGCACGAAAUUGCGACGUAUCUGUCUCCGAGGACCAAGCUCGGGAAUAAUGCGACGAUCACGCAUCAAUUUGCUCGUGCAACCGUUUCGAAUAACCCCCUUACGCCGCGUACAGAAUCGGCAACUAAUCCAGCAUUGUGUGUUGAGCAUGAUGCGAUUAUCGCGUUAUAUCAUGGGGGAACGUCGAGCUGUGAAAGCGUCGUUGAACCUUCGACCAAAACCGCACACGCGGUUCAAAAAUAAGCUGUAAGCCAAACUUUCAUUCCAAUGUUUAUCGCCUAUGAACGAAAUCUAAUAUUUCGAGAGGUUUCAAUUUUCUAAUAAUAAUGUUAAGUUCUAAUGUAUCGUUUUAUCGCUGACUUCGUAAAAGUGAAUUUGAGGUUAGGAAUUUUCUGUGUUUUUCUGUGAGUAAACUUUUGUUGUAAAGAAAUACAAAUGUGCAAAUUAUAAUUUUGUUAUAUAAUAUUA
Apis mellifera (honey bee) is the source of this 1543-nucleotide long non-coding RNA. RefSeq lists it as uncharacterized. NCBI's taxonomy places the organism in Eukaryota, Metazoa, Arthropoda, Insecta, Hymenoptera, Apidae. The transcript is spliced from 2 exons. The record is from RefSeq and is a predicted model, not a curated record.